AUGGAAGCCCUGCCCGCCGACUUCCUCGCGGAGACCAAAGGGUGGCGCUUCAUCGCCGAGUGGGGCGCGCAAGAGCAGGUGCUGCGGCACCGCGCCGUGGGGGGCUUCCUGACGCACAGCGGGUGGAACUCGACGAUGGAGAGCAUCUGGGCCGGCGUGCCGAUGAUUUGCGCGCCGGGGUUCACGGACCAGUACAUCAACAGCCGGUACGUGUGCGGGGAGUGGGGCGUCGGGCUGCGCCUGGACGAGCAGCUGCGGCGAGAGCAGGUGGCGCGCACAUCGAGGAGCUCAUGGGCGGUGGCGAGAGGGGCGAGGAGAUGA
RNAcentral lists this ribosomal RNA (321 nucleotides) under Triticum aestivum (bread wheat). Its description in RNAcentral is "partial small subunit ribosomal RNA". Lineage: Eukaryota; Viridiplantae; Streptophyta; Magnoliopsida; Poales; Poaceae. The record is from RNAcentral.